UCCCCUCCUCCAGCUGGUAUAAUAAUAACUCCACUACCAUAGACGUCCCCUCCUCCAGCUGGUAUAAUAAUAACUCCACUACCAUAGACGUCCCCUCCUCCAGCUGGUAUAAUAAUAACUCCACUACCAUAGACGUCCCCUCCUCCAGCCCCCACAGAGUAGGAGUGUAUCUGGACUGGUCAGCCGGCACUCUGUCCUUCUAUAGAGCCUCCUCUGACACACUGACCCACCUGAUCACAUUCACCUCCACAUUCACUGAGCCCCUCUAUCCAGGGUUUAGGGUUGAUGAUGUUGACUCUUCAGUGUCCCUGAAAUAAUAACUGGACACACACACACACACACACACACCCACACUGGACACACACACCCACACUGGACACACACACACACACACACUGGAUACACACACACACACACACUGGAUACACACACACACACACACACACUGGAUACACACACACACACACACACACACACUGGAAACACACACACACACACACUGGAUACACACACACACUGGAUACACACACACACUGGAUACACACACACACUGGAUACACACACACACUGGAUACACACACACACUGGAUACACACACACACACACUCACUGGACACACACACACUCACUGGACAAACACACACACUGGACACACACACAAACACACUGGAUACACACACUGGAUUCACACACACAAACACACUGGACACACACACUCACUGGACACACACACGCUUGACACACACACACACACUCACUGGAUACACACACACUGGAUACACACACACUGGAUACACACACACACACACACUGGAUCCACACACUGGAUACACACACACAAACACACACACACACACACACACUGGACACUCACACAUGUUAAAUCAGUUUCUGGACCACAGGUUCUAGAACAGCUUCUAUCCCAGUUCUAUCUGCCUGUUAAAUCAGUUUCUGGACCACAGGUUCUAGAACAGCUUCUAUACCAGUUCUAUCUGCCUGUUAAAUCAGUUUCUGGACCACAGGUUCUAGAACAGUUUCUAUAUAGGGAAGGUAGGGGAGCGGAGGGGAUAUAGGGAAGGUAUAGGGAAGGUAGGGGAGAGGAGGGGGGUAUAGGGAAGGUAGGGGAGAGGAGGGGGUAUUGAAAAACUGAGUUUAAAUGUAUUUGGCUUAGGUGAAUGUAAACUUCCGACUUCAACUAUAUAUAAGCUGCAGACUCCCAAUCCAAAGGUUGGGUGUUCAAUUCUAGCGCUAGAAAGUUUGUUAUUGUAUUUUAUUAAGCUUUUCCCUUUACUUUACACUAAUCUUAACUAUUCAGAAUGAAUGCCUAAACUUAAGUUUUAGUUUCAUGUUUGCCGAGUUUGACUGAAAAGCUAAAAUAUGGCAACAGCUGGUGUAGUUAAAACAUCAAGCCAUGGUGUAAUUCUGCUACUGCAGUUACAGCACAGGUUGGCAUUUUAUUUGAGGAUUAGAUUGUUAUUGUUACAACUGUUUAUAAGGAAAAUACAGACACAUUUUAUAUGUUCAAAUCAUGUUGGAAAUCAAUGAAAGCAUAUUUUGUUGUUGUUGCAAUAUAAAACUGGGAAGAGCAAGGACAAUUGUAGAGGGUCAAACCAAAUCUGGUAAAUCAAACCAAAUGUAUUUAUAAAGCCCUUCUUACAUCAGCUGAUAUCUCAAAGUGUUGUACAGAAACCCAGCCUAAAACCCCAAACAGCAAGCAAUGCAGGUGUAGAAGCACGGUGGCUAGGAAAAACUCCCUAGAAAGGCCAGAACCUAGGAAGAAACCUAGAGAGGAACCAGGCUAUGAGGGGUGGCUAGGAAAAACUCCCUAGAAAGGCCAGAACCUAGGAAGAAACCUAGAGAGGAACCAGGCUAUGAGGGGUGGCUAGGAAAAACUCCAUAGAAAGGCCACUUUUGAAAAAUGCACUUUUCGUAGUAAGUUUAGGAGAACGUACGUAGCAGGUUAGGAGAAAAAGGUUAUGAUAAUUAGGUUAAGGUUAGGAAAAUGGUUAAGGUUAGCUAAUACGCAAAAAAAAGUAUUAUAUACUUAGAUGUCAAUUUGACAAAAGCUGUAUCCCAUCUAGACAUAUUGCCGCUUUCCAUGUUGUCUGUAGCUUGUGAGGUGUGGAAACACUUUGUUGUUUUUAUACUAUGUUGCUCUGUCUGUAUGCUACAUCUUGCUUGUCCUAUGUUGCUCUGUCUGUAUGCUACAUCUUGCUUGUCCUAUGUUGCUCUGUCUGUAUGCUACAUCUUGCUUGUCCUAUGUUACUCUGCGUGUGCUCACUGCUCAAUGAUUGUCUGUAUUUUUGUUGUAAUUGUUUUUAAUAACCUGCCCAGGGACUGCGGUUGAAUAUUAGCCGGCUGGAUAAAACCGGCACUUUUACUGAAAUGUUUAUUAAUGGUGCACUGUCCCUGUAAAAAUAAAAUAAAAAUAAACUCCAACAUGACUGAGGAAAGUGGCAAGGCAAAAUAUUUUCUAUAAAUAUUGUUAGGGGUGCUUAACAAUUAAAUGAUUUGUAAAAAAAAAAUAUAUACAUUUAGACUCAAUAUAUUUUACAAUACAACUAAUAACAGAAAGAUACAUUUCUUCAUAAACACACCAGCUGAUUCGCAGGUCUGCAGAGCCGCUUCAAUCCACUAGAGGGCAGCAGAUGUAUUUUUAUUUUACCUUUAUUUAACCAGGCAAGUCAGUUAAGAACACAUUCUUAUUUACAAUGACAUAUA
Molecule: long non-coding RNA, 2721 nt
Filed under: Salmo salar (Atlantic salmon)
Lineage: Eukaryota; Metazoa; Chordata; Actinopteri; Salmoniformes; Salmonidae
Description: lncRNA (ENSSSAG00000111990.1)
Source: RNAcentral